AGUGAGGCUUCCGCUAGGAAUGUGUGGACGGAGUCUGGCUGGCUUUCCUUUAGAAUUCAAGCCUGAGAUGUGUGGGGAAUGGAGCAAAUGUAACUGUCCUUCUACCAUUUGAAACCUGAGAUUGGAGUCAAAACUAAGGAAUUGCAGCAGAAAGGAAGAAAUUGGGUCCUCUGGUGACUAUUGAGUCAUGAAUCAAAAUAUGCCUAAAGUGAGAACCCACAACCUUUCCACUCACGUGAGCCAGGAAAUUCUGUUUGGGAUGAGUUUUCUAGUAUUUGCAGCAGAAGAAUCCCUACCUGAUGCAGAAAUGACCCACAUUUUCCAGCUGAGGCAAAUAGAGGCCUCAGGAGAUUAGCUAACUUGCCCAAGUUCACACAAAUAACUAAGACAAAAUUUGAAGCCACUUUGUUUCACCUUGAAAAGCUGGUGAGGAAGACAAACUGGAUUUUUAACUGACUGCAAUAUGACAAACAUAUGUGAAAAAAGAAAGACACAAUAGGAAAAUGGAGUGAAAGAAGGGCAGAGAGUGAAGGACAGUGUAAUUGAGGUACAAGUUUCAAUGACAUCUGAAGAUUAUGAAAAUCUGGGGUUUUCCUGGUGCCCCAUCUCUCCCAGUGACUCAGUAAGAUAGGAAAUGAAGGCUAACUCUGAUUACCUAGUUGACUAUUUUAAACUCCAGCCAUUUAUAGAGCACUAAUUAGAAAUCAUUUCAAGCAAAACAUCUGUUCAUUGAUUUGCUGAAACAUCAAUAUUGGCUGUCUAUGAGAAUAAUUUGCAUUUCAUUGCUAAGGAAAAAACAUUAGUACCUGGAAACCAAAGAAAGCAAAUCUAGACCCACGAAGAUCCUCAGUUUUUUUCAGAAGGCAAACCACCAUGAAUUAUUCUAAUUAUUUGACCUUUUCACUCCAGAAUAAUCCAAAGCGAGCACCUGCAAAGGGAGUGGGGUGAAGUAUCGAGUUCAUAGAAGCCCUCAACAGAAAUUCCUCUUUUUCCCUGAAGAAAGCUGCCUCACUGAAGGACACUCCACCUUCCCAAGGGCAGCCUACAAUGCCUUGUGAGAGCAAAGGAAGCCAGUCACAAGAGACAGACAAUGCUAAUCUGGCUUGAACAUUGCCGAACACCAGGCGCUGUGCUAAGUACUUGAGAGCUGUUAAUCCACUGAAACCUCACAACACCCCCAGAGUCUGGC
Molecule: long non-coding RNA, 1189 nt
Filed under: Homo sapiens (human)
Lineage: Eukaryota; Metazoa; Chordata; Mammalia; Primates; Hominidae
Description: HSALNT0370254
Source: RNAcentral